Molecule: ribosomal RNA, 292 nt
Filed under: uncultured bacterium
Lineage: Bacteria
Description: partial 16S ribosomal RNA
Rfam family: Bacterial small subunit ribosomal RNA
Source: RNAcentral
GUGCCAGCAGCCGCGGUAAUACAGAGGGUGCGAGCGUUGUCCGGAAUCACUGGGCGUAAAGGGCGCGUAGGCGGUUUUUCAAGCGUGCGGUGAAAGCUCAGGGCUCAACCCUGAGUCGGCCGUGCGAACUGGAAGACUGGAGCACGGUAGAGGCACAUGGAAUUCCGGGUGUAGCGGUGGAAUGCGUAGAGAUCCGGAAGAACACCGGUGGCGAAGGCGGUGUGCUGGGCCGUUGCUGACGCUGAGGCGCGACAGCGUGGGGAGCAAACAGGAUUAGAUACCCCUGUAGUCC